AUCCGUUUUCUAUAAAUACCUAAAGCGAAGCCUAUUGUUUCCUCUCGUUCCCUUUUCCAGAGGCAAAUCCUUUUGAGGUUGCAUUCUGAUCGAAGAUGAGAGCCAAGUGGAAGAAGAAGCGCAUGAGGAGGCUUAAGAGGAAGAGGAGAAAGAUGAGACAGAGAUCAAAGUAGAGAGCCAAGGGCAUGCAUCAGCUGUUCUUGCUUCUGAUAUAAGACAGUAAUCUUUGUCUCUCUUGGGAAUUUAUCGAUAUCCUGACCGGGUUGAGGAUUCUCCGUUGUCUUUCUGGGCAAGUUGUGCUGAAUCCAUGCUCUAGCUUUUAGGUCUGUCUGGUUUUGGAACUUGGAGGCCGUUUGCUUUCGUUUCUUGGUAAUUUCUAUUCGGUUUGUGUUGAAGUUUUCGGCCUUGCCGACAUGUUACUGCAAUAUAUUCUUCUACAUGGAGAUCCUGUCCAAUACAUGUUCCAUCAAUUUUACUCGCUUGGCUUUGCA
This is a long non-coding RNA of Tarenaya hassleriana, 491 nucleotides long. RefSeq lists it as uncharacterized. The record is from RefSeq and is a predicted model, not a curated record. The transcript has 2 exons. Lineage: Eukaryota; Viridiplantae; Streptophyta; Magnoliopsida; Brassicales; Cleomaceae.